CCUCCUUCCUUUUUUUCUCAUUCUUUUUAUUUUGCUUCUCAAUUCCAUUCGCCCCAUUCUUUUCUUUUGAUGUGCAGAUUUUGGUAAGACGAAGUGAAGAAGGAGAAGGAAAGGGGAGGGGGUCCCUCCAAUUUUCAAAAUUGGCAUUCUCAGCCUACAUUUGCCAGUGCCGGCUUUGUCAUUGUCUUCUUCCUCGUCGUUCGGUAGAGAGAAGAAAAUCUUCAACUUCGACUUUUUUGCAUCCGCCAUCCACGUAUUCUGGAUUAGAAGUGACUAUUCGUAAUGCAGGCCGGAGUUUUAUUGUUGUUCGGCUCGUAAAAUGGUUUAGUGCAUGCACGACGAGGUGCAGUCCAACUCUAGUACACUUAUUCUGGAUAACAUUCU
Non-coding RNA from Caenorhabditis elegans, 384 nucleotides. The record is from Ensembl. Lineage: Eukaryota; Metazoa; Nematoda; Chromadorea; Rhabditida; Rhabditidae.